RNAcentral lists this transfer RNA (85 nucleotides) under Pseudomonadota bacterium. RNAcentral's name for it is "Proteobacteria bacterium tRNA-Leu". It matches the Rfam family "tRNA". From Rfam's summary of the family: Transfer RNA (tRNA) molecules are approximately 80 nucleotides in length. Their secondary structure includes four short double-helical elements and three loops (D, anti-codon, and T loops). The record is from RNAcentral. RNAcentral also lists the same sequence under 1 other name. Lineage: Bacteria; Pseudomonadati; Pseudomonadota.
GCCGAAGUGGUGGAAUUGGUAGACACGCUAUCUUGAGGGGGUAGUGGGCUCACCCGUGCCGGUUCAAAUCCGGCCUUCGGCACCA